Non-coding RNA from Treponema lecithinolyticum ATCC 700332, 1547 nucleotides. The record is from Rfam. Lineage: Bacteria; Pseudomonadati; Spirochaetota; Spirochaetia; Treponematales; Treponemataceae.
AUCAUGGAGAGUUUGAUCCUGGCUCAGAACGAACGCUGGCGGCGCGUCUUAAACAUGCAAGUCGAACGGUAAGGAAGGAGCUUGCUCCUUUCUGAGAGUGGCGGACUGGUGAGUAACACGUGGGUGACAUACCUUUUAGAUGGGGAUAGCUAUUAGAAAUAGUAGGUAAUACCGAAUGUGACCGUAUCUGUUAGAGGGAUACGAGGAAAGGAGCUAAGGCUUCGCUAAAAGAAUGGCCCGCGGCCCAUUAUGCUCGUUGGUGAGGUAACGGCCCACCAAGGCGAUGAUGGGUAUCCGGCCUGAGAGGGUGGACGGACACAUUGGGACUGAGAUACGGCCCAGACUUCUACGGGAGGCAGCAGUUAAGAAUAUUCCGCAAUGGACGAAAGUCUGACGGAGCGACGCCGCGUGGAUGAAGAAUGCCGAAAGGUUGUAAAAUCCUUUUAAGCCUGAGGAAUAAGCACAGUAGGGAAUGAUUGUGUGGUGACUGUAGGGCUUGAAUAAGCACCGGCAAAUUACGUGCCAGCAGCCGCGGUAACACGUAAGGUGCGAGCGUUGUUCGGAAUUAUUGGGCGUAAAGGGCAUGUAGGCGGAUGAGCAAGCUUGGUGUGAAAUGCUACAGCUUAACUGUGGGACAGCAUUGAGAACUGCACAUCUUGAAUUACUGAAGGGUAACUAGAAUUCCACGUGUAGGGGUGAAAUCUGUAGAUAUGUGGAAGAAUACCAAUGGCGAAGGCAAGUUACCGGCAGAUAAUUGACGCUGAGGUGCGAAAGUGCGGGGAGCGAACAGGAUUAGAUACCCUGGUAGUCCGCACAGUAAACGAUGUACACUAGGUGUCUGGCAACAAAGCUGGGUGCCAAAGCAAACGUGGUAAGUGUACCGCCUGGGGAGUAUGCCCGCAAGGGUGAAACUCAAAGGAAUUGACGGGGGCCCGCACAAGCGGUGGAGCAUGUGGUUUAAUUCGAUGGUACGCGAGGAACCUUACCUGGGUUUGACAUAGUACUUAAGUUCGUAGAGAUACGGAUGCGUAGCAAUACGAAGUACAACAGGUGCUGCAUGGCUGUCGUCAGCUCGUGCCGUGAGGUGUUGGGUUAAGUCCCGCAACGAGCGCAACCCCUACUGCCAGUUACUAACAGGUAAUGCUUGAGGACUCUGGCGGAACUGCCGGUGACAAACCGGAGGAAGGUGGGGAUGACGUCAAGUCAUCAUGGCCCUUAUGUCCAGGGCUACACACGUGCUACAAUGGUAGCGACAGAGUGAAGCGAAGCCGCGAGGUGGAGCAAAACGCAGAAAAGCUAUCGUAGUUCGGAUUGGAGUCUGAAACUCGACUCCAUGAAGUUGGAAUCGCUAGUAAUCGCAUAUCAGCACGAUGCGGUGAAUACGUUCCCGGGCCUUGUACACACCGCCCGUCACACCAUCCGAGUAGAGGGUACCCGAAGUCGGUAGUCUAACCGCAAGGAGGACGCUGCCGAAGGUAUGCUUUGUAAGGAGGGUGAAGUCGUAACAAGGUAGCCGUACCGGAAGGUGCGGCUGGAUCACCUCCUUU